Molecule: long non-coding RNA, 564 nt
Organism: Oncorhynchus gorbuscha (pink salmon)
Lineage: Eukaryota; Metazoa; Chordata; Actinopteri; Salmoniformes; Salmonidae
Exons: 2
Source: RefSeq, a predicted model, not a curated record
AGAAAGUUAGGAUCGUGUUCUGUUGGUAACAUCAGUCUGCAAGGACCAACAUUUUCUGUUUGGCAGUUCUGUUUUUCACAUCUGCAUUUCUCUUCAGAAGGUGGGGAACUAAAAGGCCAACAAGACAUAAGAUGGCCUGCUGGAGCCCUGCUGUAUCGGCCAGAACUUUCUAUGGAUUCUAUCCUUCAUUCCACCGGAGUCUGUGUCUUUAUUCAACCAGAUUUCUGUGAAAUGAAGUGUAAGAGACAUGGAGCUCGAGCUUUGCACCCUAACUGAGCAAUGGAGUCCAUUUCCAAAGUGUUGUUGCCAGCAAUCUUUAGUACUAAGUCUAAUUACACUUUAGUACUAAGUCCAUUUACACCAAACAAUAUGAAUGGAAAUCUAUAUUCUGUAUAGCUGAUAUUGCCCUGGAAGGAAUGUCAUCAUAAUUUACAACUGCUGAUGUAAAAGGGGCUUUAUAAACACAUUUGACUGAUUGAUUGCUCAUUUCAAAUUCAUCAUAAAAUCAAAUUGGAAAAUGUAAAUGUUUUGUAAUCUGAUUAAAAUUCUUAUUUAAUCUCCGUG